This 20-nucleotide microRNA is filed under the name Sphaeroforma arctica. RNAcentral also lists the same sequence under 2 other names. The record is from RNAcentral. Lineage: Eukaryota; Ichthyosporea; Ichthyophonida.
UUUUGGCGCGUUCUCCCGAU